AUGGUCUCGGUGAUCUUUGGCCCCAGGAGCACCAACCUCAACAAGGACAUGCUGGUGAAGCUGAAGGCGAUUUACACGCUCGUAGAACAACUUUACUCUGGAGCUCAGCAUGCCUUAUCCACAGUUGCCCUGUCAAAUGAAGUCCCCACGCUCCUUGUUGAUGUGCUAAAGAAGCUUUCUGUGCUGCCACAGCUGUUCAACAAAUUAAAGCGAUCCUCUGCGAGAGCCGGAGUCGUGGCUGCCUUAAGCCGGGCCAAAGCAUGGUUACCGGAAUUAGACCCAGCCGACAUCGCCAUUGGGUAUCCAAGCCUUAAGGAGGAUGGCACUUCAUUUGAACAGGAGGACUCCGCUGCUUGUGUGAAGGAAAUACGCCCUGUGGCCAGCUUGAUUGCCGAUGAGACAGACCUCAUCAAGUACCACCCGGCUUAUGACGCGGGAAAUCAGAGGAUGUCGAUGCCGCGUUUAUAA
RNAcentral lists this ribosomal RNA (468 nucleotides) under Triticum aestivum (bread wheat). RNAcentral describes it as "partial small subunit ribosomal RNA". The record is from RNAcentral. Lineage: Eukaryota; Viridiplantae; Streptophyta; Magnoliopsida; Poales; Poaceae.